RNAcentral lists this long non-coding RNA (14101 nucleotides) under Sorghum bicolor (sorghum). RNAcentral's name for it is "long non-coding RNA (SBIC_LNC013492)". The record is from RNAcentral. Lineage: Eukaryota; Viridiplantae; Streptophyta; Magnoliopsida; Poales; Poaceae.
GUUCACCCUGCAUGAUCAUUCAUGGAAAUGGGAAAAAAAAAAACACACAAAUUAGACGACGUGCGUGCGUACUUGUUGAUCGAGUCAGUACAUGCAUGCAAAAGUAGUAAAAUAUACUGUUACGUACUAUACUGAAUAAAAAAGCCAAUUCAUUCAGAUGAUCGAUGACUUGGCUUAGAUCUUACGGUAGGGUCGGUCGUACUCGUACGUACCUGGAGCAGUCGAUGGAGGCGCUGAUGGUGUAGGGGAUGUUGACGCCGCACUUGGAGGGGAUGCUGGCGGCGUUGCCGGCGUUGAGGCCGCUGACACGUCCGGCGGCGCUCUUGAGGCAGUUGCAGGCGGUGCGCUUGUCGGCGGUGCUGCUGGCGGCGGAGUUGAGGCUCCUGACGCCGCUGCAGCAGGCCGCGGAGGGUGCGGUGCCGGUGCCGCGGGCGUAGGCGAGGCAGGGGCUAAUCGCGGAGUUCACCUGCCCGCAGGUGACGGCGGCCUCCGACGUCGUCGUCGCCGCUGCCAGCAGCACCGCGGCCACGACGACGGCGAUCAUCGCCACAGCAAACUGCAUGCUGCGUGCCAUGUCGAUCGAUCGAGCUAUUCGUGUGUGCUGAGUGAUCUGAGUGCCUGACUGUGUGCUAGUAUGCUAGCUUUGGAAUGCAGUGAGAGCAAGUGCUAGCUGGUGAGGAGAAUAUGCAGUGAAAUGUUGGUCCUUAAAUAGGCUUGAGAUCGAUCUGAGAGCUACAAUGGCUGAUGACAGAUGUCAUGCAUGGUGUGUGCAUGCUGUUUCUUUCGGUAGAACAUCAUCAUCGUACAGUUAAGAGCCGGGCAGGAGGAGGUGGUUGGGUGUUGGGGGCAGGAGGCAGAUGGAGGAUGUGGAUGGAAAUACACAUAUGCAGUGGUUAGUGGAUGCAGAGUGAAUUCAUCAUCAGCAGCAGCAGCAGCAGCAAACUUAAUAAAUAGCAGCCGCCUAACACGACUUAAUAAUAAAUUAAACAGUUAAGCGUCAUUUAAUCUCAUCACCCGCCUCACUGAUUAAUCGAAUGAGGCCUUGUUUAGUUCACCCCAAAAUCCAAAAAUUUUUCAAGAUUCACUGUCACAUCGAAUCUUGGGGCACAUGCAUGGAGCACUAAAUAUAAACAAAAAUAAAAACUAAUUGCACAGUUUAUCUGUAAAUCACGAGAUGAAUCUUUUAAGCCUAGUUACUCUAUAAUUGGACAAUGUUUGUCAAAUAAAAACGAAAAUGCUACAGUUCCAAAAACCAAAAUGUUUUCGGAACUAAACAAUAUAUAGCCUCCCACAGGCUCACAAAAUCUGAGAACUCACCUAUAUGUGGCCAAUUCAUCUAACAUAGCCUUUUGGACCGUGUAUUUUUUCCUUCGAGUCUUUUGAUGUAACAGCGGUUCAAUUGCCUUGACCGAUGUUCCAUUGAUCCAAUUCGAUGUCACGAAAGAGGCUAUAUUUUUUACAUUGCCUGUGGUGACUAUAUAUAGUUAAUGAAUUGAAGAGCUUGUGAUCAGAUUUGUCACAAGGAAUCUCCGUAUUGCUCCACGCUCUUUCCUUUUGUUUCUACUUAAACCAUAGCCGUCAUCUCAAUUGGACAAUCCCUUCGCCUUGGGAAGGGCGUGGUGGUGGACUAGUUGAUCAACGAAUGUCCUCCAAUGAUGUUCUCAAGUGGUAUUUCUCCUCGCCAAAGAAAAUUACGCCACAUCCUGUCUAUUCUUUUGAGCCUGGAACACUAUCAAAUGGUAUAUUAUUGGCAGCGUCAUUAGAAUCAUUUCUGUACUGGUGUUUCUCUAUUAGAUGUUGGCAGGAAUUUUCCUUUCCACCCCGGGAGCCUGGCACCAAAAUCUUUUCUAUCAGUGGCUAGACCUCCCUCCUUUCUUAAUUUCCGGGUAUAUGUAAUUGAAGCCCUAAAUAUUUUCCCUGGGAAGUUGUGGAUGAGCGAAGGGACCAUGUUAGGUUGGAGCCAUAUUGGAAAAAAAAAAUAGUCUUGGACAUGUUAAUUUUUAGCCCUGAACAAUUUCCAAAGAAAUGUAGGAAUUUUGUAAGCUGCUCAACUGCUCUGAAGAUGGGUUUGCAAACAAACCCACAUUUUAUUUGUGUAGAGAGAGCACCACAAGUUUGCUGCUUCCGGUACAACCAGUUGUAGGAUAUCCUGUUGUGCCGCUCAUAUUCAAUGAUUUGUUGGUAGCGGGUCUACUGCUAACAUGCAUGAAAAGUAGGGGCCGGGAAAGCGGAUUGCUUUGCCUCAAUCCUCUUGCAUGUUUGAUGUUUUGACUCGAUCAUCUAUUUAUGAGAAUUUUGGAUGAGAAGGACCCUAAGUUUCUUUGAUAUCCAAUUAGGUCAUUUUGUGCUAAAACCAAGCGCAGUUAGAAAUUCCAGAAGGUGUGCCAUUCUAUGGAGUCGAAAGCUUUGGAGAUGUCCAGUUUUAUAAAUAGAUCGAGUGAGCUGAUUUUUUUCUGUAGAAGUUGAAUACUCUUUGUACAUAAAGAAAAUUGCCCCUUUUAUUGAUGAAUGCAUUUUGAGCAUGUGAAACCAACUCAUUCAUAUAUGGAGCUAGUCUAUUUGCAAAGAUUUUCGUAAUGAUUUUUAUGAGGCUGUUAAUUAGGCUAAUCAGUCUCUAUACUCAAACAUUGUUUGUGCUUCCUACUUCUUAGGGAGUAGAACUAUACUUGCUUCAUUAAACAACUGCAUUUUUGCAGUCCUAUGGUUGUCGUUCUUGAUUAUAUCCCAACUCUUCUUAUAGAAGAUCCCGAUAAGACCAACUAGUCCUGGGGCUUUCUACGACGGAAGCUCCUUGAUUAUGGUAAGUAGCUCCUGCUCUGUAAAUGGCAUGUCUAGUUCAUCAAGGUUAUGUGGAGAGUAACCCAACGUCUCCCAAUUGAUUGACUAUAUGUUCUUGUAGCUCUUGUUCCCUGGCUUUGGCGAAGAACUCAACAGGGGACCUCUGUUCCCACGUUGGGAAAUUGCGACCCUCUCCUCAAUGUGAAUUGUGCUUAUAUAUUUUUCCUUCGUCUAGCGUUUGCAUGUAGUUGGGAAAAAUGAGUAUUAGUAUCAUCAUUCCAUAUUUAGCUAGGUCAGUCAAAAGUGUUGUCUCGCCUUUGCUUUCUGUAUUGCGAUUAGACCCAUUGAUUUUGCCUUAAGAUAUUUCUUGAAUUCCACUUCUUCUAUUGUCAGGGGACGUCUUUUCUGUGCCUUCUCUAGCUCUCUAUAGGAUGAUGUGAAGGACGUCAUUCCCUAGUUUCCAUUCAGUAAACAGUGUAUGCUUCCAUACUUUUAACGCUCUUGCCAUGCGGAGGAGCUUGGUGUUUACUGUCUGUUCCCAUGUUGAACCAUCUAUAUAAACCCCAGCAUAUUUACCCAAUAGUAAAAAUGGAAACCAUGGCAAAAUUCAAAAGUAAUAUCCUCUACAAGAGCAAAAGACCAUGGUCCCAUUAUUUUGCUAUGUGAGCCCACUCCUCUUAUUUUUCACCUUUAUUUUGAUUAUGCUACUCAAGUGUUGUAUCUGACUUUUAUUUUUUGACUUGGCUUACUCCUCUUAAGAUGUCAUUUGUUCCAAAUCCUUAAUGUUGGAAGUGGUUAGAAUUCCUCUAGUAGCGGAGGUCAGUCGAGCCUACUCGCUCGCUGCAGCGAGAGGCUUGAGUGUGCUAACAAUCAAGGAAGAGAGAGCUCGAAACCCUAGAACAGUAGUGUUUCAGUAAAUUGGUUUCAACUAACUCUUGAAAGAGCAUUUAUAACCCCUUUAUAUAGGGUGCGGAUCCCAACCGAGAUCCGUUACAGCAAUGCCCCAUGACGGUGGCGGGAUAUUCCAGCAUAUUUCGCCACUACAAUCUAUAACCCACAGGGCUACUUGAGUAAUUUCGAACUGCAAGCUCUUUGCAGGCUGUCGCGUCGGAGUCCUGGUCCUAUCGUAGCUCGAUCCUUCUCCUAUCCUUCGUCGAGGCUCAUAGAUCCUCCGCCUUGCGGCCGACGAGGGAUCUUUGUCCGCCACUCAGAGGUUCUUCGGCUUGGUCGGGGUCAGCACGUCCUUCAUCACGCAAGGGCUGAAGGAUGGGCCCUUACCCCCUGUGAUUCUCCGCUCCAGGUUGGUUCCUGCACACAUGUCUCACCAAACCGAUCUGCAUCAGCAUUAAAUUUUUCCGAACCUUCGUCCCUUAUCGUCCGAAGGUUGGGGGCAUGAAGGUUCGGUCAUCGCGAUCGAGUUACAUCUUUUCUCUCCGAUGCAGCUAGGGGGUGAAGGCGUGGUUGAGUUCUCAAUACUUAAAUAUAUAAUUUGUCCAUACACAAAUUUCAAGUCGUUUUGGACAUGAUUUAGGAUGCCAAGAAGUGAUUAAUCAGAUGUAUUUUUUCUUAUCAGCACCUAUUAUUAAAUAGAGUUCGGGUUUCUCCAUAGAUCAACCACUCGUCGCUAUACUGGCAAGCAGUGUGAAGCCCAAGGUGUUAGGUCUUAGGUUUAAUCCCUUGCUUUCAGUUCUUUUUUAAUUGGUGGUCGUUUUUUUCCAUAGCCUGCAUGGCUAAGCGAUACAAUUGGCUCUUCGACGUUCGAGUGUGUGUGAAGUGAGAGGAGCCAUGAUUUACUUAUGAAUGCACAUGGCGUGAGAGGAGGCACGAGUUACUUUCCUCUUCAAGACUGAGACUGAGCGACUGGACACGGGAGACGAAGGACCGGGGGGUGAUUAACUUUGUUCAAAAUGUUGUUAAAGAUGCAAAAAGACUUCAAUUGUGAACACCCCACUCACCAUCCAAAACUACUUUAAUUUGAAAUAUGAAGGGAGUCUUCACAAAGUUGUGAAUAUAAGUUAUGUUCCGUAAAAUAUUAUGAUAAAAGUUGUGUGUGUAACUUGGUACGUUUGAUUGAGUGCAGCGUGAUCUAUUUUUCUCUUCGAGAGUGGUUGACUCGACAUGGGAGACGAAGGACAACCAGGGUGGAUUCAUGCAAAAUGACUUCAAUUGUGAACACCCCAAUCACCCUCCAAAACAACUUCAGUUUUGAGUACGGAGGGAGUAUCAUUAUUCCUGUUAUGUAAGCCCACUUUUAGGUCCAGAUUAAUUAGCUUUACUGCAUAUAUGUAAAUAUGUCAAAUAUAUACUUUUUGAAAUAAACUAUAUUCAAAACAAAUCUACCCACAUCAUCACUUCCAUACAUUCAAACUAAACAUGUAAACAUCAUUCAAUAGUCAAGAGGUUUCGAGAUGAUUGACGUAAGACAACCUGAAAAUGUCGAUUUAAUAAAAAAAUCAAAGCAUUUGUCGUCAAAGUAAUUUUUGAAAUGAUUGACCCACAUCAUCACUUUAAUACAUUCAAACUAAACAUGUAGUGUUAAUAAUUAUACAUCUUCUGCUACCUACCAAUAAGCCCCUCACGCAGCACACGGCUCCGUUUUCUAGUUUUUGUCUUGUAUUCGUUCAUCAGAUGAAUUCUGUAUUUGAAGAGCAGUGCGUGUCGCCACCUCAUGAAAAAAGCGUGCCAGCUAGGUACUUGUUUUAAUUUCCACCGUGUGAGUAUUUUUUUUGAAGUGGUGAGUUAAUUAAAUGAAACCAUUUAAUUUUUCGAAUCACAAAGUCUGCAACCCAGUUUUGCAACCAUAUAGCGAAUGAAGCAUAAUCGAAAAGUCAUGGAACACAGUCACAUCACAUGCAUGGCCCACAUGCAUGCAUAACGACAAUUUGUAAACAAAAAGAUGUGAGUGCAUCAUAAGGUAGCAGUGAUCGAACAAAAUACGUGUCCUCCAAAACCGUACGGAGAACGGAUCGGAGGAAGUAUGUUUUUGACGAUGGUAAAGUUUAUUUUGCGUAUAUGCUUUCACUUUUUCAUCCAUUAGAAGUGUGCAAACACACAUCUCAAUGUGUGAAACUGCUUUAAGAUAUGUGUUUACACACUUCUCAAAGCGAGUCCAAUAGAUGGGAGAGUGAGAGUAUAUGCCCUCAAGGACAAAAAAAAACAAAAAAAACUUUUGACGAUAAGAUGUAGUGCCCGUUUUUCAUUAAGUGGAAAUGAUCGUAGAAAGUACACGGAAACAACAAGCCAAAGGACAUCUCUCUCACACACACGUACGACACGGACGUACAUACGGAGAGAUUUUUUAUUCAGUAUACGACGUAGCAGUAUAUAUAGUAGACAACUCAUCAUCACCCGUAGAUAGAUAGAGACUCAAGCAUGGUCGUCGUCGAUGCUCCGGCGCCGACGACGGCGGCGGAAUGGAUCAUCGAUCGACGAUCAUCAGGUCGUCGUUUCGGUUUAGCUCACCCUGGAGCAGUCGGUGGAGGUGCUGAUGGUGUAGGGGAUGCUGACGCCGCACUUGGAGGGGAUGCUGGCGGCCUUGCCGACGUUGAGGCCGCGGAUGCCACGGGCGGCGUUCUUGAGGCAGUUGCAGGCGGCGCGCCUGUCGGCGGUGGUGCGGGCGGCGGAGUUGAGGCUCCUGACGCCGCUGCAGCAGCCUGCGGAGGGUCCAGAGCCCUGGCCGCGGGCGUAGGACAGGCAGGGCCCGAUGGCGGAGCUCACCUGACCGCAUGUCACGGCGGCCUCCGAGGUCGUCGCCGCCAGCACCACCGCCGCCACGACGGCGAUCGCCACAGCAAGCUUCAUGCUGCGAGCCAUGUCGAUCUCGAUCGACCUCCUGUGAUAUAUGUGCUGAUGCUCGUAGGUGACUGAUAGCUUUUGGGAUGCAGUGAGUGAGCAAGUGCUAGCUGGUGAGGAGAUUGCAAUGGAAUGUUGCUCCUUAAAUAGGCAGGCUUUGUGAUCGAUGUGUGAGCUAGCUAGCGAUUGCUGAUGAGUGAUGUGCAUGCAUGGGAUGGGUGUGCAUGCUGUUUCAGUCGGUGGAUGCAUGCAUAUGCGUAUAUGUCCAUGGAUCGAUGGUAUCUCUCGCCAUGCAUCGAAGUUAACUGCUGGGGAGGAGGUGGUUGGGUGUUGAGGGAGGAGGGCAGAUGCUUGUUUAGUUGUUGUAAUACCCGAUUUUAAGGACAAAACCAGAUAUGCACCAUAUGUGAGUUUUAAAAGCCAAAUCUCACAUAUAGCUACAAAUAAGGGGUAAUAUCAAAAGACAAUGCAAAAAUUAUAUAACGUACAUAAUAUAAAAGAGAUAACCUUUGAUAGCAAACAACGGAUAGACAACUCCAAACUCCGGGUAUUAACUUCUCUCUACAGGAUCCAACUGACUGGUUGAUCACAAGCCUAAACUUCUCCUGAGGUUUGGGGGAAAUAGCAAGAGUGAGUCCAUGUCAAACUCCACAAGUAUAGCAACUAGAUUGUAUAGCUCCCACAAUCUCAUGAUCAAUGUGACAUAAAUAAUGUAAAGCAUUAAACAAUAAGCAAUGAGCAUAUUUAACACACAAGAUUCAUCACCCUUAAUGUAGAUGUCCCCAAGGCCGUUCCUGACCGUGAGCUCGGCUAGUAUACUAGUUUUAACACUCUGCAGAGGUUGCACAUCUUUACCCAUGAGUCAUGAUUUACCCUUUCGCCCGAGGUGAUCAGCCUCUUAACCCACUUCCAAGGAAGGUCGGCAGGGAUCACUAUGAAGCCUUUCAAAAGUUCGUCUAACAUGUUAGGGCCGCAAGGUUUCCUUUGCGAGCAGAUAUAGAUACCCCCCUUCCGAAUGGCACAAUGACGCGCAGCCUAUACACAUAGGGACAGGGGCUCGCACUAUACCCGUGUCGGUUCAGCCCCUCCGCCCUUUCGGGUAACCUCUAACAAGCUAGAAAAGGUCUUCAUACUGAGCUAAAGCCAGAGCCAUUAUAGCCCUCAUGGUUGCACUGUUAUCCCGGGUGAUCACGUACAGACAAAUCAUCAAGUUGUUAAAAAGUCAUUUUUACCAUUUAUUACUUAACAUUAAUCUAGUCACAGGAUCAUGGUCACAGAAAUAAAAUCCAAAUGCUAUACUUGCCUCAAUCCAAUUGCUCUUGCUUAUCCUUUUGGUCCUGCUGGUCUCACUUGUUGCCAAAGCUUUGAUCUUGAUCACCGAAACUGCUCUCCGUCUAAACUCGAUCAUCGAUCAUCAACACACAAACAAUCGGACACAACAUACACGUAGCAAACAAGGCUAUAAUUAGAACAGUACACCAAUCAUAUAAAAACAAUAUGAAAAAUUUGUAAAAUAAUUCUACGCAUCGCUACGAUCUCACAGACGUAAAGAUGACGAAAAUCGGAGUUAAAACGGAAAAGAUAUGGAUUUUCUAAGAUUUUAUAUAGAAAAGUAAUUAAUUAAUUAAGGUCACGAAAUUAAAAGGUUUCAAACUGAGUGAACAAUAUUACUAACAUGUAGUGCUCGUGAUUACGAACCUAACACAAUUUCAAUGGACAAAACGGAGUUAAAACAGAGAUGAUAUGGCCUAAAUAAACUAGCGUAUUUUCUUUGUAUUUUUAGGUUUGUUUUUCUAAAGGAAAACGGCAAUAAAACAUGUCUAUGUUAUAACGACGUCAUCAAGCUAGCCAGCAACGUUUAUUCGCAGAUAUAUGUUAGACAUGUACAUCCCUAGAUCGAUUGCUGCGCAGAUAGAAACAUCGCCGGGCGAAACAAAUCAGUGCAUGCACUUGUAGAGGCUUUGUGAAAUUUCUCACACAGGAAUCGACAUAUUAAAGAUGCAAAGUUACCUCUUAUGGUGAUUAUAAGAUUCAAUAGGACAUGCUUGCCGAACGAUGGGUCAGUGGCCACGUCGUCAAGAACAGGUUGAUCUACGGCAACACCUUCUACUCCCGUGCUCUGUUGCUUGCUACUCUUCACGUGGCCAGCGAUUUGGUCUUCUGCUUCUUUGGUCCACAAUCACGAUGGUUCACCGGAACAUGGCAAGCAGCUCUGGCAAGCAGGACGUGGCAAGAGCAGAGCGGCGGCCGUAACAUGGCAAGGGCAGCAUCUAUCUAGGCAUGGCCGACGGCGGCGGCUCUCAAGGGUUUUAAGGACGUAAACACUCUAGACGAAUAUGACGUGUAUAUAUACGUGCGGUCUAGAUCAAGUUUGAUUAGGGUUAGAACUUAUUAUUUUUGGAAUUAAUUAUUUUCAUGGAUAAAAUAAUUAUAGAAAAGUCCAGAAUUAUUAUUUAAACUAUGAAAAAUAUUCUAAAAGCUCUGAAAAUUCGGAGAAAAUUCUCAGAGACAUUAUGGAAUAUGAGGAACUCAAAUAACGUAUUUGGACCUCAUGAUAAGAUAAUUUGGAGCAUCUAAAAAUUAGAUUUAUGCUCAUAGAAAAGUGAGAAUAGAAGAUGGAAAAAUUCCCGAAAAGUUUGUAGAGAUUGCUUGAUGGACGAGGAACUAAAAGAAGUGCUUUGAGUGACAAAGAAAAGAUUUUAGGAAGCUCCUAAUAAAAAAUUGAGCUGAGAAACCAAAGAAUUUGGUUAUAGAUAAAGAUAAAGACGUACUGGUCAAGGAAGAUCUACUAAACGCAUUUUAAAACUUUGCUCACUCAACACAUAAAGGAGCAACAAGUCAACAUCACAUCAAAACAUAUGCACCAGCAUGUAUGCACAACAAUAUUGCUAAGGCUUAUGAUAAAUUUUAAUUUAAUGAAAAUUAUUAUUUUCCUUAUAUUUUCGUGAGCACAAAAUACAAAACUGAAUAAAUUUUCAUCUAUUUUGAAAAGAGCAAAAUUUAGGGUGUUACAGUUGUCAAAAUUUUUUAAAAUUCUCAAUCAAAUUAAAUCUUGGGACACAAUGUAUCAAAUAUUAAAUAUAGAUAAAAAUUAAUUAAUUAUAUAGUUUGUAUAUAAUUUGCGAGAUAAAUUUUGUAAACCUAGUUAAUCUAUAAUUAAACAAAAAUUAUUAAAUAUAAACGGUGCUAUAGUAACUAGAUCCAAAAAUUUUCACCAACUAAGGGCUUGUACAACGAUGGGCGCUUAUGAUCAGGUAUUGGCCGUUAAAUAGUUUUUUUGCCACACGGUGGAGUCCUGAGCGGGCGCUUAAAAAUAGAUUUGCCGCUCCGUAAAGCAUCGACGCCUAGACCGGCUCCUUGCUUGAUACUGGUGUUUGCAUGCGACGUAACGGUCACAACUUAAGCGCCUUCAAAUACGUGUUGUGUUGUAGAUUAAGGUUAUAAAGAGACGCUUAGUUACAAAAGUAUUUUCUCUUUCCAUCUAAGCGCCUUUUGCAUUGUACGUGCUCUAAACAAGGCCACAGAUACAGACAUACAGUGGUUAGCUGAGGCAGAGUGAAAUCAUUAGCAGCAAACAUAUAAUAAAUAGCAGCCGCCUAGCACGACUUAGCGCCACUUAAGUUUUGUUUAGUUACGCUCGAAAUCCAAAAACUUUUCAAGGUUCUCUUCACGUCGAAUUUAGAGACACAUACAUGUAGCACGACUUAGCGCCACUUAAGUUUUGUUUAGUUACACUCGAAAUCCAAAAACUUUUCAAAGUUCCCUUCACGUCGAAUUUAGAGACACAUACAUGAAGCAUUAAAUAUAAAUAAAAAAAUAACUAAUUACAUAAUUUAUCUGUAAUUUGAGAGACGAAGCUUUUGAGUCUAGUUAGUCUAUAGUUGAACAAUAAUUAUCAAAUAUAAAAAAAAAUGUUAUAGUACCAAAAAAAUCUUUUCACUCACGAACUAAAUAAAGGCCCUAAUCUCAUCAUCCGCCUCACUGUUUAAUCGAAUGUCCUUGAUGGCCACCCACAGGCUCACAAAACCUGAGACGGUGAGACCUUGCCUGGGGUAGUAUAUGGGGCCAAUGGCCAAUCCAUUUAUCAGUUUGCCCAAGGCAGGUGGUGGGCCACUCUGUUCAAUUUUGAGUCUAAUAUAUGCAAUAUCUUCUCUUUUGUGCAAUUUUUGUCCGUGGGUUCAAACAAUCCUGCCACCGUGUCACCGGUGGCUGAUCGUGUCAACCCUUCGCCGCAGUCCGCUCCACCACAGUACGGGGGGCCCAGUUGCAGUCUCUGCCACCGCAGUAGGGAUGUUGAACUUGUAAUAAUAAAUAUGUGAGUGCUUUUAAUAUAUAAUGCAUGUUGGUGAUAUAGAUGUGAUAAUUGGCGUGUGUGUAUAUAUAUUGUCUGUUACAAUGGAAUGUAAAAAAUAAAACAAAUACAAUUCUCGGGGUCUUCGCCGAGUGCGGUGCCAGGGUCACUUGGCAAAGCAAUUUAAAAAAACAAUUUUGCCGAGUGUCGGGGCCACGACCACUCGGCAAAGAAUUUUUCUUUAAAAAAGAAAAGACACUUUGCCGAGUGCUGAUGCUAGGGGCACUAGGCAAAGUAUUUUUAAAAAAAACAAAUAUGCGGAGUGCCGCGGCAAGGGACACUCAGCAAAUAUUUUUUUUUUAAAAAAAAAGAAAGAAAAUCUUUGUCGAGUGCCUGAGGCCAGAGGCACUUGGCAAAGCAAUUUUUUUUAAAAAAACUUUGCCGAGUGUUAAGGGGCCAGGGGCACACGGUAAAAUAUUUUUUAAAAAACAAAAACUUUGUCGAGUGUCGUGUCGGGCAACUCGGCAAAAUAACUGUUAACGGCAGAUGCUGUGACGGCCAAAAAUGUUGCCGAGUGCUGUCGUAAGCACUCAGUAAAAUGUUUUUAAUAUUUUGCUAAGUGCCUCGGUAAAAAGCACUCAGCAAAGUCUCUUUGUCGAAAAUUUUUUUGCCGAGCGAACUUUGCUGAGUGCUACGUUCGGCAAAGCCUUUGCCGAGUGCAAAGGGCUCUUUGUCGAAUGUAAAAACACUCGGCAAAGUCCUAAUUUCCAGUGGUGGGUGUGCUGGGACAAUUUAGAAAGCAAGCAACGAUUUCAUUUUGCGUUAGAUCACUCCCAUCCUCGAAGCCUCAGUUUUUUUUUUCAGAAAUAAGUUCCAGCUGUUGCUGCUGAGAACUAAAAGAAGCUUUUCACCCUUGAUUGAUCAAUGGAUUGGCUCUCUAGUUUAACAGGCUUCUUUGUUGUACUCUUUUUGCUCUUUUUUCCUUAGUUUUUUUGUUCCUUAGUUAAGACUCCACCCUACUGCCUCCUUAACUGUUGUGCUUUUUUUUUUGUAAAAGACCUUUUUUAUUAUAAUUUUUGCAUUGUUGUAGGGGUGCAAACCCCUCCAAUCUCCUUCAAAAAAUUCAAAAGUAAUAUAACCUUGCAGAACAAAGGACGGUAAUCCCACCAUUUUGCUAUGUGAGCCCACUCCUCUUAUUUUUUUUACUUUUAUUUUGAUUAUGCCCACUCCUGUUAAGCAGUCAUUUGUUCCAUUCCCUAAAUAUAUUUCUAUUUUUUAGAAUAUUCAAUAAGGCGUAUAUACAUUAUAUUUUAAGAAAUAAACUAUAUUCAAGACAAAUCUACCCACAUCAAUAUUACUUGUAUACAUUCAAAUAAACAUGUAGACAUAAUAAUUCGAUAGUUAAGGUUUCAAAAUGAUUGAAAUAAGACAACUUGAAAUAUGUCACAAUAAAAAAUUAUUUGUGGUCAAAGUUUCUGAAAUUAUUGACUUACGACAACGUACAUCCAAGUGUCACUUAAUUGCUUUGUGAGCAGAGGGAGUAUAUAUUUUGGCAAGUUACCCUCCAUCUAAAAAUAUAAAACACAUGUUUUUAGGACAGUAAGAUUUGACCAAUAGGUGCUUGUGCCAUUAAUAUGCAUAAAUCAUAGAUACUUUUGAAUACAAAUAUCUAGUUACAUCAAUUUGCUACCACAAAAUUGCAAGUAUCUUGGUUAAAGCCAUGUCUAACAAAACAUGAGCUUUGGGAUGGAUAUAUAUCAUAUUGGUGUGUACGUUUAGUAGUCUCUCUUCGUUUCAAUUUAUUAGAUGUUGUUUUGGCUUUUGUAGAUACAAAAAUUUUUUUAUGUAUCUAGAUAACGUUUAUUAUGAUAUAGAUAUAUCGUAUAUCUAUAUGCCUAAAAAACUGAAUAUCUAGAAAAACUAAAAUAACCUAUAAUUUAGGAUAGAGGGUGGUAAUAAUUAUACAUCUUCUGCUACCAAGUCCCUUAAUUACAGCACACAGCUCUGUUUUCUAGUUGCCUUGAUCGUUCAUCAGAUGAAUUAUGUAUUUGAAGAGUAGCGCGUGUGUGGUCAUGUCAUGAAAACGUGCUAGCUAGGUACUUGUUUUAAUUUCCACCGUGUGAGUAUUUUUUUUUUUCAAGUGGCGAGAGUUCAUUAAUUAAAUAAAACCAUUCAAUUUUUCAAAUCACAAUACGUUGUCUGCAAAUCCUCUGAGUCAGCCAGUUUUUCGUUACGUGCUAUACUCCGUCCAUUCUAAAUUAUGUUUUUUAAACUUUUUGGUAUAUUCAUUUUGCUACAUACUAAAAAAAUUAAAAAUAACUUAUAAUUUAGAACAGAAGAGGUAUAUAUAUAGUUGCAUAUAUGCUGACAAGUGUUUGGGGGAGAAUAGAGCAGUAACUCUCUUGACCAAGCGUUUGGGAGUCAUGGAACACAGUCACAUGGCGCAUGCAUGCGUAACAACAAUUUGGAAACAAAGAGAUGUGUGUGUGCAUGUAGCAGUGAUCGAACUAGUACAAACCACAGGAGCGAGAGGAAACGUACACGGACAUAAAUAAUAAACACCGCACAUAGUGCAUGCACUCAAAAAUAAACCCAACAAGCAAAAGUACAUCUCUCACACACACAUGUACACACGCACGUACGUACAUACGCUAAGAUGCAAGCGUAUCACAGCGUACACGACGACACGUACGUACAUACGGAGAGAUUUUUAUUCAGUAGUACGACGUAGCAGUAGUAGACAACUCAUCAUCUCAUCAUAUCAGGCGUAGAUAGAUACUCAUCCAUGGUCGAUGCUCCGGCGCCGAUCGACGACGACGGCGGCGGCGGCGGAAUGGAUCAUCGAUCGAUCGAUCAUCGUUUAGGUUUAGUUCACCCUGCAUGAUCAUGCAUGCAUGGAAGACGAAGCACAAGUUAAUUAAACGACUUGAUAUUCAAGUUGAAUCAGACCAUGCAUGCAUGCAAAGUUGCAAACAACUUGUAGUGAUUGGAUCAUUCAUUCAGAUCAUCACUUAAUUACCUGGAGCAGUCGGUGGAGGUGCUGAUGGUGUAGGGGACGCUGACGCCGCACUUGGAGGGGAUGCUGGCGGCGUUGCCGGCGUUGAGGCCGCUGAUGCCACGGGCGGCGUUCUUGAGGCAGUUGCAGGCGGCGCGCCUGUCGGCGGUGGUGCGGGCGGCGGAGUUGAGGCUCCUGACGCCGCUGCAGCAGCCUGCUGAGGGUGCGGAGCCCUGGCCCCGGGC